AUUGAACGCUGGCGGCGUGCUUAACACAUGCAAGUCGUGCGGUAACAGGCGUAGCAAUACGUGCUGACGAGCGGCGAACGGGUGCGUAAUACAUGGGAAUCUGCCCUUUAGUGGGGAAUAACCCGGCGAAAGCCGGGCUAAUGCCGCAUAAGAUCUUCGGAUGAAAGCGGGGGAUCGUAAGACCUCGCGCUGGUGGAUGAGCCCAUGUCGGAUUAGCUAGNGGUGAGGUAACGGCUCACCAAGGCGACGAUCCGUAGCUGGUCUGAGAGGACGGCCAGCCACACUGGGACUGAGACACGGCCCAGACUCCUACGGGAGGCAGCAGGUGGGGAAUAUUGGACAAUGGGCGAAAGCCUGAUCCAGCGACGCCGCGUGUGUGAAGAAGGCCUGC
Molecule: ribosomal RNA, 391 nt
Filed under: uncultured bacterium
Lineage: Bacteria
Description: bacterial SSU rRNA
Rfam family: Bacterial small subunit ribosomal RNA
Source: RNAcentral